This 578-nucleotide ribosomal RNA is filed under the name uncultured bacterium. RNAcentral describes it as "bacterial SSU rRNA". It matches the Rfam family "Bacterial small subunit ribosomal RNA", at positions 338 to 916 of the family's 1533-position model. The record is from RNAcentral.
CCUACGGGAGGCAGCAGUAAGGAAUAUUGGUCAAUGGAGGCAACUCUGAACCAGCCAUGCCGCGUGCAGGAAGACAGCCCUCUGGGUCGUAAACUGCUUUUAUUCGGGAAUAAACCUUAUUACGUGUAAUAAGCUGAAUGUACCGAAGGAAUAAGGAUCGGCUAACUCCGUGCCAGCAGCCGCGGUAAUACGGAGGAUCCAAGCGUUAUCCGGAUUUAUUGGGUUUAAAGGGUGCGUAGGCGGCUUAUUAAGUCAGGGGUGAAAGACGGUGGCUCAACCAUCGCAGUGCCUUUGAUACUGAUGAGCUUGAAUGAACUAGAGGUAGGCGGAAUGUGACAAGUAGCGGUGAAAUGCAUAGAUAUGUCACAGAACACCGAUUGCGAAGGCAGCUUACUAUGGUUUUAUUGACGCUGAGGCACGAAAGCGUGGGGAUCAAACAGGAUUAGAUACCCUGGUAGUCCACGCCCUAAACGAUGAAUACUCGCUGUUAGCGAUAUACAGUUAGCGGCUAAGCGAAAGCGUUAAGGAUUCCACCUGGGGAGUACGCCCGCAAGGGUGAAACUCAAAGGAAUUGACGG